CCUACGGGAGGCAGCAGUGGGGGAUAUUGGGCAAUGGGCGCAAGCCUGACCCAGCAACGCCGCGUGAGGGAAGAAGGCUUUCGGGUUGUAAACUUCUUUUCUCAGGGACGAAGGAAGUGACGGUACCUGAGGAAUAAGCCACGGCUAACUACGUGCCAGCAGCCGCGGUAAUACGUAGGGGGCAAGCGUUAUCCGGAUUUACUGGGUGUAAAGGGCGUGUGGGCGGGGAAGCAAGUCAGAUGUGAAAACCACGGGCUCAACCUGUGGACUGCAUUUGAAACUGUUUUGCUGGAGUACUGGAGAGGUAGACGGAAUUCCUAGUGUAGCGGUGAAAUGCGUAGAUAUUAGGAGGAACACCAGUGGCGAAGGCGGUCUGCUGGACAGUAACUGACGCUGAGGCGCGAAAGCGUGGGUAUCAAACAGGAUUAGAUACCCUAGUAGUC
RNAcentral lists this ribosomal RNA (443 nucleotides) under uncultured bacterium. Its description in RNAcentral is "partial 16S ribosomal RNA". It matches the Rfam family "Bacterial small subunit ribosomal RNA", at positions 338 to 795 of the family's 1533-position model. The record is from RNAcentral.